AGUGACAGGAGCGGGCCUCCAGCGGCGGAGUUGAAAGUGGGGGACAGCGGGGGACCGAAAGGCCGGUAAUUCAAAGAGGUCAGACGCCAUCUCUAUGAAGCCCCUUCUGAUCACCUAGCAGAGAAGGGAUCUCUUCUUCCUUCAGUAGCAGUUUCUUCUAAGAGGAUUAGGAGAAACCUUAGAGGAUGUGGCAUCUGAGUUGAUUGUGAAGAGUUUCAGCCAUAAGAACCGGAGGUACCCUGGAGAGCCAUCCAGAACACAGUUGGAAAUCCUGCAGACCGAAGUGGAAGCUAGAAGUGGGGCUUUGUGAAUACAGCCUAUUAGCUGGAGUCCCAAGACAAGGAGCUGAGAAGUGUCUCUCCAAAGAAUAGUGUUUACCUUGGAGACAUGGA
Long non-coding RNA from Mesoplodon densirostris (Blainville's beaked whale), 392 nucleotides. RefSeq lists it as uncharacterized. NCBI's taxonomy places the organism in Eukaryota, Metazoa, Chordata, Mammalia, Artiodactyla, Ziphiidae. The transcript has 3 exons. The record is from RefSeq and is a predicted model, not a curated record.